UCAUCGGCGACAUCAACAUGAACACCAUCA
This 30-nucleotide non-coding RNA is filed under the name Homo sapiens (human). Lineage: Eukaryota; Metazoa; Chordata; Mammalia; Primates; Hominidae. The record is from RNAcentral.